GACGUAGGGUGCAAGCGUUAUCCGGAUUCAUUGGGCGUAAAGAGUUGCGUAGGCGGUUUGUCGCAUUUCACUUAAAAUGCUAUGGCUCAACCAUAGUUUUGGGUGAAAUAUGGGCAAACUAGUAGAAUGGAGAGGGUACUGGAACAGAUCAUGUAGCAGUGAAAUGCGUUGAUAUGAUCUGGAACACCAAAGGCGUAGGCAGGUACCUGGUCAUUUCUAGACGCUGAGGCACGAAAGCCUGGGGAGCGAAGCAG
RNAcentral lists this ribosomal RNA (254 nucleotides) under uncultured bacterium. RNAcentral's name for it is "partial 16S ribosomal RNA". It matches the Rfam family "Bacterial small subunit ribosomal RNA", at positions 524 to 776 of the family's 1533-position model. The record is from RNAcentral.